This 1441-nucleotide ribosomal RNA is filed under the name Parcubacteria group bacterium. RNAcentral describes it as "bacterial SSU rRNA". It matches the Rfam family "Bacterial small subunit ribosomal RNA". The record is from RNAcentral.
UUAUGAGAGUUUGAUCCUGGCUCAGGGUGAACGCUGGCGGUAUGGUUAAGGCAUGCAAGUCGUACGAACUUGUUUCACUUAUUCCUGGCUUCGGCCAGAAAUUCCGAAACAAGUUAGUGGCAAACGGGAGAGUAACACCUUGGUAACGUACCUCAAAGACAGGGACAACCCUUAGAAAUUCGGGCUAAUACCUGAUAGUCAUGGGGGGAAAUAAUUCAUUCCCAUGUAAAGCUUGAGAUUUAUCUCUUGCGCUUUGAGAGCGGCCUAGGUCCUAUCAGCUUGAUGGUGAGGUAACGGCUCACCAUGGCUACGACGGGUAUGGGGUGUGAGAGCAUGACCCCACUCACUGGAACUGAGACACGGUCCAGACUCCUACGGGAGGCAGCAGCCGCGAAUAUUCCACAAUGGGCGAAAGCCUGAUGGAGCAAUACCGCGUGAAGGAUGAAGCAUUUCGGUGUGUAAACUUCUUUUAUAUAGGAAAAACAAAUGAUUGUACUAUAUGAAUAAGGGGCCGCCAACUUCGUGCCAGCAGCGGCGGUAAUACGAAGGCCCCGAGCGUUACCCGGAUUUACUGGGCGUAAAGCGUCCGCAGGUGGUUUGUUAAGUCACUCGUUAAAUCUUUCGGCUCAACCGAAAGGCCGCGGGUGAAACUGGCAAACUAGAGGCUGGGAGAGGCGAGCGGAAUUACUGGUGUAGGGGUAAAAUCCGUUUAUAUCAGUAAGAACACCAAAUGCGAAGGCAGCUCGCUGGAACAAGCCUGACACUCAGGGACUAAAGCGUGGGGAGCGAAGCGGAUUAGAUACCCGCGUAGUCCACGCCCUAAACGAUCGGUGCUAGAUAUUGGGAGUAUCGACCCUCUCAGUGUCGUUCAAAAAAGCUAACGCGUUAAGCACCGCGCCUGAGGAGUACGACCGCAAGGUUAAAACUCAAAGGAAUAGACGGGGGUCCGCACAAGCGGUGGAUCAUGUGGUUUAAUUCGUCGCUAAGCGAAAAACCUUACCAGGGCUUGACAUAUACCUGCACAUCUUGUGAAAGCAAGACUUCUUCGAGAGUGGUAUACAGGUGCUGCAUGGUCCUCGUCAGCUCGUGCCGUGAGGUGUUCCCUUAAGUGGGGUAACGAGCGCAACCCUUGUCGUGUGUUACAUAUCACACGAGACUGCCCUGGCAACGGGGAGGAAGGAGGGGACGACGUGAGAUCAGCAUGGCCCUUACGCCCUGGGCUACACACGUGAUACAAUGGCUGGUACAACGGGUCGCAAAACCGCAAGGUGAAGCUAAUCCCAUCAAAACCGGUCUCAGUUCGGAUAGAGGUCUGCAAUUCGACCUCUUGAAGUCGGAAUCGCUAGUAAACGCGAAUCAGCACGUCGCGUUGAAUACGUUCUCGGACCUUGUACUCACCGCCCGUCAAGUGAAGGGAGUUGGGAAUACCCGAAGUUCGUAU